Molecule: long non-coding RNA, 1222 nt
Organism: Leopardus geoffroyi (Geoffroy's cat)
Lineage: Eukaryota; Metazoa; Chordata; Mammalia; Carnivora; Felidae
Exons: 3
Source: RefSeq, a predicted model, not a curated record
CUGAGAUGUACCAUGUUGAAGACGGGAGACAUCAGAUAGUUUCCUGUGUAAAAGGUCAAACAAAAUAUCUCUUGGGUCACAUUCAGCCCACCAGUUCGGAAGUCUGGUGGAGCAAGAGAAAAGGAGUCAAGGAGAACAUCCUGAAAGACAGUCAAGGGAACAGGGGCAGCAAGAACAGAGCUGAGGAGGAGGAACCAGCAGAGUAGUGUGGUGAACAGCAAGAGAGAAUUUCAAGGAAUAAGGGUAACAUGGAGAAGAAAAAUCAGCAGGAAGACUGGAAGUCAUCUCUGUUCAGAGCAUUGAUAGUUUCAGCAGAGAGCUGUAAUCUGAUUCAAUAAGUUACACUAAUCAUCAUCCUUAUUCUACUGAAAGAAGACAACUACAAACUUCUUCCUGGCCAAUAUAUUAACAAAGUUCUUAAUAGUUUCUUGGUCUGUAUACUUAUAAAGAAUCUUUAUAUUCUGUAGAUUGAUACAUGAAGGCAAAAAAAAACAAAAAACAAAAAACAAAAAAAACAAAACACAGUGUCAGAAGAAAAAAGAAAAGCUCUCUUGGGUUCUAUUCCUCCCUUAAAUUGACCUAAAGACUUAAGGAUUUAUCCAAGGGGUUAGGUAAAUUAGAAAGCAGCCCUUUUGUGAGCAGACACAAUACUAAGUCAAUACCUCUCUGUACUCUUAAUGGUCCAUUAACCUAAUGACAUCUCCUUAAGAGUCCAAUCUUAUCCUCUCAAUUGAUCUUAUGACUGUCAACAUUUAUUAAUAAGCACUUACUAUAUAGGCCAGGCAGUGUGCUAGAUAAUUUAGUAAGUCAACAAGUUCUUGUUUCUAAGCACUUACAGACUAAAGGAAAAUAAUAAUAACAAUAAUAAUAAACUAAAUACAAAUAAUACUAAUUACUAGCGUGUGGUUACUAGAAACCAACAUGUAUGAACUGGGGUACCCAGCCCCGGCCAGGUGGGAGUUGGUGCUGAUGAAAUGGAGACCAGGACAGUAAGCUAGGUGAAAUAGGUUGGGUGAAGCUCUCAACUCCCAAUGGCAGCUCAAAGGCCUUCAAGUAGGAAGGGUGGUGAGCAAGAAAUGAUAAUUCCUACAACUUGCUUUAAAAAAAAAAAAAAAAAUCAAAACCCUUUGAGUUAUAUUUUUUCUGCAAGAUGGAAAGUGGUUUUAAAGAAGAUCUAAGACAGGAAAGAAGAAUCAGUAUGUGAAAACAUACGGAAAGGAAG